RNAcentral lists this ribosomal RNA (599 nucleotides) under Aspergillus sp. IARI-DF5. RNAcentral describes it as "eukaryotic LSU rRNA". The stretch from base 218 to 371 matches the Rfam family "5.8S ribosomal RNA". Lineage: Eukaryota; Fungi; Ascomycota; Eurotiomycetes; Eurotiales; Aspergillaceae. The record is from RNAcentral.
UUUCCGUAGGUGAACCUGCGGAAGGAUCAUUACCGAGUGAGGGCCCUCUGGGUCCAACCUCCCACCCGUGUCUAUCGUACCUUGUUGCUUCGGCGGGCCCGCCGUUUCGACGGCCGCCGGGGAGGCCUUGCGCCCCCGGGCCCGCGCCCGCCGAAGACCCCAACAUGAACGCUGUUCUGAAAGUAUGCAGUCUGAGUUGAUUAUCGUAAUCAGUUAAAACUUUCAACAACGGAUCUCUUGGUUCCGGCAUCGAUGAAGAACGCAGCGAAAUGCGAUAAGUAAUGUGAAUUGCAGAAUUCAGUGAAUCAUCGAGUCUUUGAACGCACAUUGCGCCCCCUGGUAUUCCGGGGGGCAUGCCUGUCCGAGCGUCAUUGCUGCCCUCAAGCACGGCUUGUGUGUUGGGCCCCCGUCCCCCUCUCCCGGGGGACGGGCCCGAAAGGCAGCGGCGGCACCGCGUCCGGUCCUCGAGCGUAUGGGGCUUUGUCACCUGCUCUGUAGGCCCGGCCGGCGCCAGCCGACACCCAACUUUAUUUUUCUAAGGUUGACCUCGGAUCAGGUAGGGAUACCCGCUGAACUUAAGCAUAUCAAUAAGCGGAGGA